AACAAGGCGUACCUGCGGACCUGCGGAAGGAUCAUUAAUGAAUUUGAAUCGAUCGUCUGUGCUGGUGGACACACAUGUGCACGUCGAUCGUCAUUCCAAUCUCCUUUCAAUCGUCCAAGUGUGUAUCUGGUCGACCUCUGGUCGAAGAGUUUGUAGCCCUUGGGCUCGACUCGUUUCAGAUGCGCCUUGGUUAUCUUACCCACUCUGGGCAAUUAUAAACAAAGAAAAAUCAUAUAAAUU
This 240-nucleotide unclassified non-coding RNA is filed under the name soil metagenome. Its description in RNAcentral is "partial contains 5.8S ribosomal RNA, internal transcribed spacer 2, and large subunit ribosomal RNA". The record is from RNAcentral.